AGGUGGGGGAUAGCGUCGGGAAACUGGCGGUAAUACCCCAUACGCUCUACGGAGGAAAGCUCCGGCGCCUUGGGAGCGGCGAUUGUCCUAUCAGGUUGUUGGUGAGGUAACGGCUCACCAAGCCUAAGACGGGUAGCGGGUGUGAGAGCAUGACCCGCCGCAUCGGAACUGAGACACUGUCCGGACUCCUACGGGAGGCUGCAGUAACGAAUCUUCCGCAAUGCGCGAAAGCGUGACGGAGCAAUGCCGCGUGUGGGAUAAGCGGUUACGCCGUGUAAACCACUGUCAGGGUCUAGGAAGAACUGACCAGACCCAGAGGAAGGGCCGGCUAAUCUCGUGCCAGCAGCCGCGGUAAUACGAGAGGCCCGAGCGUUAGGCGGAAUCACUGGGCUUAAAGGGUGCGCAGGCGGGCAGGUAGGCACUUCGUGAAAUCCCUCGGCUCAACCGAGGAACUGCGGGGUGAACCACUUGUCUUGAGGAAGGCAGAGGCUGUCGGAACGUUCGGUGGAGCGGUGAAAUGCGUAGAUAUCGAACGGAACGCCGAAGGGGUAGCCAGGCAGCUGGGCCUUUCCUGACGCUCAGGCACGAGAGCGUGGGGAUCAAACAGGAUUAGAUACCCUGGUAGUCCACGCCGUAAACGAUGUGCACUAGCUUGAUGCGGAUCUGACUCCGUGUCGGGCGCCGAGAAAUCAUUAAGUGCACCGCCUGGGGAGUACGGUCGCAAGGCUAAAACUCAAAGGAAUUGACGGGGGCUCACACAAGCGGUGGAGCAUGUUGCUUAAUUCGAAGCAACGCGAAGAACCUUACCUGGGCUUGACAUGCAUGGAUUAGCUCUUGGAAACAUGAGUGACGCCCUCGGGUGGAACAUGCACAGGUGCUGCAUGGCUGUCGUCAGCUCGUGCUGUGAAGUGUCGGGUUAAGUCCCUUAACGAGCGCAACCCUUGUCGCUAGUUGCCAGCGCGUCAUGGCGGGGACUCUAGCGAGACUGCCGGUGUCAAACCGGAGGAAGGUGGGGAUGACGUCAAGUCCUCAUGGCCCUUACGCCCAGGGUGGCAAACGUGCUACAAUGGCCUGUACAGAGCGAAGCAAUACCGCGAGGUGGAGCAAAUCGCAAAAAGCAGGCCCCAGUUCGGAUUGCAGUCUGCAACUCGACUGCAUGAAGCCGGAAUCGCUAGUA
RNAcentral lists this ribosomal RNA (1177 nucleotides) under uncultured organism. RNAcentral's name for it is "bacterial SSU rRNA". It matches the Rfam family "Bacterial small subunit ribosomal RNA", at positions 134 to 1340 of the family's 1533-position model. The record is from RNAcentral.